RNAcentral lists this ribosomal RNA (497 nucleotides) under uncultured bacterium. RNAcentral describes it as "bacterial SSU rRNA". It matches the Rfam family "Bacterial small subunit ribosomal RNA", at positions 17 to 507 of the family's 1533-position model. The record is from RNAcentral.
UCCUGGCUACAGAACGAACGCUGGCGGCGCGCCUAAUACAUGCAAGUCGAGCGAGAAGGUGUAGCAAUACACUUGUAAAGCGGCGAACGGGUGAGGAAUACAUGGGUAAUCUACCAUCGAGUGGGGAAUAACCAGCCGAAAGGUUGGCUAAUACCGCGUACGCUUCCGAGUCUUCGGGCUUGGAAGGAAAGCCGCACUGUGAGUGCGGCGCUCUUUGAUGAGCUCAUGUCCUAUCAGCUUGUUGGUAGGGUAACGGCCUACCAAGGCUUUGACGGGUAGCUGGUCUGAGAGGACGAUCAGCCACACUGGCACUGCGACACGGGCCAGACUCCUACGGGAGGCAGCAGUAAGGAAUAUUGCGCAAUGGGCGAAAGCCUGACGCAGCGACGCCGCGUGGGGGAUGAAGGUCUUCGGAUUGUAAACCCCUUUCGGGAGGGAAGAUGGAGCGAGCAAUCGUUCGGACGGUACCUCCAGAAGCAGCCACGGCCAACUUCGUG